Molecule: non-coding RNA, 234 nt
Organism: Candidatus Accumulibacter phosphatis
Lineage: Bacteria; Pseudomonadati; Pseudomonadota; Betaproteobacteria
Source: Rfam
AAGGUCGUGAGGACUUGUCUGGAGGGUGAAAGCGGGGUUUGCAGGCGCACGCGCCUGCCCGCUUGAACGACGCGAGCGCUGUGAGCGGCUGCCAGCCGGAGCGCAAAAGUGCGAGGCGACGGACAGAAACUGCAUAGAAGGCCUGGUCUGCGGGCGAGUUGGCACCCCAUGACGAAGCCCACCGGAUACGGCGGACAAGGUAAAUGCAGCGCUUGUGCACGGAAACAUCGCGUU